GAUGAACGCUGGCGGCGUGCUUAACACAUGCAAGUCGAACGGGAAACCUUUUAUUGAAGCUUCGGCAGAUUUAGCUGGUUUCUAGUGGCGGACGGGUGAGUAACGCGUGGGUAACCUGCCUUAUACAGGGGGAUAACAGUCAGAAAUGGCUGCUAAUACCGCAUAAGCGCACAGAGCUGCAUGGCUCAGUGUGAAAAACUCCGGUGGUAUAAGAUGGACCCGCGUUGGAUUAGCUGGUUGGUGGGGUAACGGCCCACCAAGGCGACGAUCCAUAGCCGGCAUGAGAGGGUGAACGGACACAUUGGGACUGAGACACGGCCCAGACUCCUACGGGAGGCAGCAGUGGGGAAUAUUGCACAAUGGGGGAAACCCUGAUGCAGCGACGCCGCGUGAAGGAAGAAGUAUCUCGGUAUGUAAACUUCUAUCAGCAGGGAAGAUAAUGACGGUACCUGACUAAGAAGCCCCGGCUAACUACGUG
Molecule: ribosomal RNA, 478 nt
Filed under: uncultured bacterium
Lineage: Bacteria
Description: partial 16S ribosomal RNA
Rfam family: Bacterial small subunit ribosomal RNA
Source: RNAcentral